UAUUUGCCAAUCGCAGAUAACUUGCCUC
Molecule: small RNA, 28 nt
Filed under: Bombyx mori (domestic silkworm)
Lineage: Eukaryota; Metazoa; Arthropoda; Insecta; Lepidoptera; Bombycidae
Description: ovarian small RNA-24330
Source: RNAcentral